RNAcentral lists this ribosomal RNA (1688 nucleotides) under Triticum aestivum (bread wheat). RNAcentral's name for it is "partial small subunit ribosomal RNA". Lineage: Eukaryota; Viridiplantae; Streptophyta; Magnoliopsida; Poales; Poaceae. The record is from RNAcentral.
UUUCAUGUAGUCCAAUUCUGAUUAGAUUGACCAGUUCUCCUAUACUGAGCCAAUCAAAUAUUUAACUACUCUUGAUCAUAUGUUUGUCUUCGGGCGUAGGUAUAUGAAUACGUUGUUGAUGUCCGGAGGGAAGUGGAAAGAUUAACACUGGAAGAUAGCUUCUCUAUUUUUACUGUCGUGUUGUAUAGUCCCUGUUUAUUUUAAAAGUUCAUUCGAGUUUUGUCUAAUUUUACAAUAUUAAUAUCACGUAUGGUACGAAUAGUAGAGUUGGUUUAUUCACCCCUUCAUCUUGGUUUCGUUUUUGUCAUACACAGUACGAAUAUUGUAGUUGGUUAAUUCCCCCCUUUCAAUUCCAUCUUGCAUUGAAUUCUGACAAGAACUAUCAAUAAUAGAUUCGAGAUUUUUGUAACCAUCUGGAUUCGUGUACUUGAUUUUAGAAUGAAGUGACUGUCCAAUCUUUAUUUAACAUUUGUUGUAGUCGAAUCUUGUUUAUACUUUAGUAUUAAGUGUGAAUAGUGUGUUAUAAACGGAAACUUAUGAUUUCGCAAUGUUUAGUUUAUUAAGUGUCCCUUGAGGUUCUCAUUUUCGUCUGACAUUUAUUACGUUUGUAUCUUCUGGUUGUGGAAGCUUAUAUGAACUUCGUAUUAUCGUUUGAUGUAUUUUAUCGAUAUCUUACACCGUGAGCACCUACUACGCAUUAGUUCUAAUUUAUGUUCGUUGAUUACACAGUAGUAAUUUUCCUUAGAACACGUACUGAUUUCUGUCGUGGAUUUUUCUUAUGUUCGUGGUAUGAAUAGUUAAAUUCACUAGCCUGUGUCUUUACUUUUGGUGACUCGUUCAAGUUUUACUGUCGAGUUUUUCACUAUUAAUAAUAGAACUCUAAUCCUCUUACUUGUGUCUGCAUAAUUACAGUCGUUUCUUUGUGUAGCUCGAUACUUUAAGUGAACGAUAAAAUAAUGUCGAAAAUACGUGGGUUGGUUUGUUGCUACUUCCCGAGUAGGUAUUAGUAAGUUAUUAAUGUGGUUAUUGUAGUAUGUCCUACGUAUUAACUGUUAACACAUGUCGUAUUUUGUAUUUAACGUACUUGUUUUGUACUGAUGUUUAAUGUCAUUCUUACGAUUAUUAUUCGAUUCCCGGAGAAACUAAGUGUACUAACGUUUUUGCGACCUUAUCUUUCUUAUGGCUUUUAGAUAUCCCAACGUCAACAUUUUGUCUCCUAACUUUUUUUCACUUUUUAUAUCCUUAUACUUUGUUUACCUUGCAAACUUUACGCCCUUGACUUUAGUUUCCUUACGUAAUAAAUCAUCUCUUUGGUACGCGACCAUACGUUGAAACAGGGAGAACGGAACCAGAAACACAUUUUUUCUCCAUACUGGGUUACAAAGUGAGGUACGCUUUAGUGUCCUUUGGUUGUCACAAAGAGACCUAACGUUGUCAUAAGGAAGUAUGACCAAGAACGUUUAGUUUGUAGCGAUGUCACCGUUUAGAAUACCUUACUUUUAAGGAUGCAAAAAAGAUACUUUUUAGGAAGUUUAGUUUCCUCCGGAUUCUGAUUAGGUUGUGACCUGUCUCGUACAUUUGGCCGUCUUCGGGUUGACUUAUAGGUACAUCUUUUAGUUUCAGUGUUUGAUCUCUAGUCUUCCUAACCAUCUAAGGUUGUGUCAUUAGUCGUAGACUUAUCUGGAACU